Molecule: ribosomal RNA, 284 nt
Filed under: uncultured bacterium
Lineage: Bacteria
Description: partial 16S ribosomal RNA
Rfam family: Bacterial small subunit ribosomal RNA
Source: RNAcentral
ACUCCUACGGGAGGCAGCAGUGGGAAUAUUGCACAAUGGGGAAGCCCAUCGAUGCAGCCAUGCCGCGCUGUGUGAAGAAGGCCAAUUCGGGCUUGGUAAAGACACUUUCAGUUGUGAGGAAAGGUUAGUCGCUAAUAUCGGCUAGCUGUGACGUUAGCAACAGAAGAAGCACCGGCUAACUCCGUGCCAGCAGCCGCGGUAAUACGGAGGGUGCGAGCGUUAAUCGGAAUUACUGGGCGUAAAGCGCGUGUAGGUGGCUUGUUAAGCCAGAUGUGAAAGCCCGC